UACGUAGGGAGCAAGCGUUGUCCGGAAUCAUUGGGCGUAAAGCGCGCGUAGGCGGCCCUGUAAGUCCGUUGUGAAAGUCAAAGGCUCAACCUUUGAAAGCCGAUGGAUACUGCAGGGCUAGAGUCCGGAAGAGGCGAGUGGAAUUCCUGGUGUAGCGGUGGAAUGCGCAGAUAUCAGGAGGAACACCAGUAGCGAAGGCAGCUCGCUGGGACGGUACUGACGCUAAGGCGCGAAAGCGUGGGGAGCGAACAGG
RNAcentral lists this ribosomal RNA (253 nucleotides) under uncultured bacterium. RNAcentral describes it as "partial 16S ribosomal RNA". It matches the Rfam family "Bacterial small subunit ribosomal RNA", at positions 524 to 776 of the family's 1533-position model. The record is from RNAcentral.